RNAcentral lists this ribosomal RNA (499 nucleotides) under uncultured bacterium. Its description in RNAcentral is "partial 16S ribosomal RNA". It matches the Rfam family "Bacterial small subunit ribosomal RNA", at positions 899 to 1397 of the family's 1533-position model. The record is from RNAcentral.
ACUCAAAUGAAUAGACGGGGGCCCGCACAAGCGGUGGAGUAUGUGGUUUAAUUCGAUGCAACGCGAAGAACCUUACCUGGGUUGGAAACCUAGAGAAAAGCAUUAGAGAUAAUGUGUGCUCGCAAGAGCGUUCUAGGCAGGUGCUGCAUGGCUGUCGUCAGCUCGUGUCGUGAGAUGUUGGGUUAAGUCCCGCAACGAGCGCAACCCUUAUCCUUAAUUACUAACAUUAAGUUGAGCACUUUAAGGAGACCGCCGGUGAUAAACCGGAGGAAGGUGGGGAUGACGUCAAGUCCUCAUGGCCCCUAUGUCCAGGGCUACACACGUACUACAAUGGUUAAGACAAAGCGCUAGCAAGACCGCGAGGUGGAGCGAAUCGCAAAAACAUAAUCUCAGUUCGGAUUGUGGUCUGCAACUCGACCACAUGAAGUUGGAAUCGCUAGUAAUCGCGGAUCAGCAAGCCGCGGUGAAUACGUUCCCGGGCCUUGUACACACCGCCCGU